GACGAACGCUGGCGGCGGGCUUAACACAUGCAAGUCGAACGCUUAAGCUUGGUUCUUGCCCUGGUUGAAUGAGGGGCGAACGGGUGAUUAAUACGUAAGUAACCGGCCGUUGACUCUGGGAUAAGCCCGGGAAACUGGGUCUAAUACUGGAUACGACGGGUCACGUCAGGGUUGUUUGUGGCAAGCGCUUUACUGGUUUUCGAUGGGCGCACGGCCUAUUAGCUUGUUGGUGGAGUAAUGGCUCACCGAGGCGUCGACGGAUAGCCGGCCUGAGAGGUUAAACGGCGACAAUGGGACUGAGAGACGGAGCAGAGUCCUACGGGAGGCAGCAGUCGGAAAUAUGGCACAAUGGGGGGAAGCCUGAUGAAGAGACCCUGGGUGAGGGAUGACGGUUUUCGGGUUGUAAACCUCUUUAAGCAAGGAAGAAGCGAAAGUGACGGUACGUACAGAAGAAGCGCCGGCUAACUACGUG
This 472-nucleotide ribosomal RNA is filed under the name uncultured bacterium. RNAcentral's name for it is "partial 16S ribosomal RNA". It matches the Rfam family "Bacterial small subunit ribosomal RNA", at positions 28 to 507 of the family's 1533-position model. The record is from RNAcentral.